UGCCUAACUGGGUUAGGGCCCUGGCUCCAUCUCCUUUAGGAAAACCUUCUGUGGGGAGUGGGGCUUUGACCCUAACCCAGCUGGGCU
RNAcentral lists this microRNA precursor (87 nucleotides) under Loxodonta africana (African savanna elephant). Its description in RNAcentral is "mir-1296 microRNA precursor family". It matches the Rfam family "mir-1296 microRNA precursor family". The record is from Rfam by way of RNAcentral. Lineage: Eukaryota; Metazoa; Chordata; Mammalia; Proboscidea; Elephantidae.